Molecule: ribosomal RNA, 468 nt
Filed under: uncultured bacterium
Lineage: Bacteria
Description: partial 16S ribosomal RNA
Rfam family: Bacterial small subunit ribosomal RNA
Source: RNAcentral
GACGAACGCUGGCGGCGUGCUUAACACAUGCAAGUCGAACGGAAAGGCCCUGCUGUUGUGGGGAGCGCGAAUGGCGAACGGGUGAGUAACACGACCGGAACCCGCCCCUGACAUAGGUAUAACUUCAGGAAACUGGGGCUAAAAGCGGACAGGAGCUCCUGCUGCAUGGUGGGGGUUGGAAAGUUGGGGCGGUAGGGGAUCGACACGCGGCUUAUCAGCGUGUUGGUGGGGUAGUGGCUUACCAAGGCUUUGACGGGUAGCCGGCCUUAGAGGGUGACAGGCCACAUUGGGACUGAGAAACGGCCCAGACUCCUACGGGAGGCAGCAGUGGGGAAUAUUGCGCAAUGGGCGGAAGCCUGAUGCAGCAACGCCGCGUGCGGGAUGACGGCCUUCGGGUUGUAAACCACUUUCGCCUGUGACGAAGCGUGAGUGACGGUACUGGGUGAAGAAGCACCGGCUAACUACGUG